GGUGAGGUGUCCGAGUGGCCUAAGGAUCCGGUCUUGAAAACCGGUGCACGUCCUGCGUGCCGUGGGUUCGAAUCCCACCCUCACCG
Molecule: transfer RNA, 86 nt
Filed under: Candidatus Nanopelagicales bacterium
Lineage: Bacteria; Bacillati; Actinomycetota; Actinomycetes; Candidatus Nanopelagicales
Description: tRNA-Ser
Rfam family: tRNA
About the family: Transfer RNA (tRNA) molecules are approximately 80 nucleotides in length. Their secondary structure includes four short double-helical elements and three loops (D, anti-codon, and T loops).
Source: RNAcentral